AUUGAACGCUGGCGGCAUGCCUUACACAUGCAAGUCGAACGGUAACAGGUCUUCGGAUGCUGACGAGUGGCGAACGGGUGAGUAAUACAUCGGAACGUGCCCGAUCGUGGGGGAUAACGCAGCGAAAGCUGUGCUAAUACCGCAUACGAUCUACGGAUGACAGCGGGGGAUCGCAAGACCUCGCGCGGACGGAGCGGCCGAUGGCAGAUUAGGUAGUUGGUGGGAUAAAAGCUUACCAAGCCGACGAUCUGUAGCUGGGCUGAGAGGACGACCAGCCACACUGGGACUGAGACACGGCCCAGACUCCUACGGGAGGCAGCAGUGGGGAAUUUUGGACAAUGGGCGCAAGCCUGAUCCAGCCAUGCCGCGUGCAGGAUGAAGGCCUUCGGGUUGUAAACUGCUUUUGUACGGAACGAAAAAGCUCUCUCUAAUACAGGGGGUGAAUGACGGUACCGUAAGAAUAAGCACCGGCUAACUACGUG
RNAcentral lists this ribosomal RNA (482 nucleotides) under uncultured bacterium. RNAcentral's name for it is "partial 16S ribosomal RNA". It matches the Rfam family "Bacterial small subunit ribosomal RNA", at positions 30 to 507 of the family's 1533-position model. The record is from RNAcentral.